Molecule: non-coding RNA, 59 nt
Filed under: Florenciella parvula
Lineage: Eukaryota; Dictyochophyceae; Florenciellales
Source: RNAcentral
CGUUUUUUUAAAAAAUUUUUUUUUUUUUUUUUUUUUUUUUAACGAACGUUUGAAAUAAA